GCAAUGCCGCGUGAGUGAAGAAGGCCUUCGGGUUGUAAAGCUCUUUUGUCAGGGAAGAAACGGUGAGCUCUAAUACAGUUUGCUAAUGACGGUACCUGAAGAAUAAGCACCGGCUAACUACGUGCCAGCAGCCGCGGUAAUACGUAGGGUGCAAGCGUUAAUCGGAAUUACUGGGCGUAAAGCGUGCGCAGGCGGUUUUGUAAGUCUGUCGUGAAAUCCCCGGGCUCAACCUGGGAAUGGCGAUGGAGACUGCAAGGCUAGAGUUUGGCAGAGGGGGGUAGAAUUCCACGUGUAGCAGUGAAAUGCGUAGAUAUGUGGAGGAACACCGAUGGCGAAGGCAGCCCCCUGGGUCAAAACUGACGCUCAUGCACGAAAGCGUGGGGAGCAAACAGGAUUAGAUACCCUGGUAGUCCACGCCCUAAACGAUGUCUACUAGUUGUCGGGUCUUAAUUGACUUGGUAACGCAGCUAACGCGUGAAGUAGACCGCCUGGGGAGUACGGUCGCAAGAUUAAAACUCAAAGGAAUUGACGGGGACCCGCACAAGCGGUGGAUGAUGUGGAUUAAUUCGAUGCAACGCGAAAAACCUUACCUACCCUUGACAUGGAUGGAAUCCCUGAGAGAUUG
Molecule: ribosomal RNA, 625 nt
Filed under: Oxalobacteraceae bacterium Se3Ps_2742
Lineage: Bacteria; Pseudomonadati; Pseudomonadota; Betaproteobacteria; Burkholderiales; Oxalobacteraceae
Description: bacterial SSU rRNA
Rfam family: Bacterial small subunit ribosomal RNA
Source: RNAcentral